This 1730-nucleotide long non-coding RNA is filed under the name Triticum aestivum (bread wheat). Its description in RNAcentral is "long non-coding RNA (TAES_LNC021488)". Lineage: Eukaryota; Viridiplantae; Streptophyta; Magnoliopsida; Poales; Poaceae. The record is from RNAcentral.
CACAUCACGCAACUGGCUGCAAUCAGAAGAACGGCGAGGGUCUCCUCAUCGUUGAUCUCUCUGUAUCCACCAGCCGCACCAACAGGUGAGCGGGCACAUGAUACCCUGCUCCCAGAUUAGCUUAAGCCAGAGAAACCAAAGCUGGGUUAGUAAGUUCGGAGUAAAAAUAGAAGAACAGAUAAGUGAUGCAGUGGACAGCUAAUUUUCCGACAUAGUAACAUCACAGCAAAAACUGUGGGUAUUACCUAGCACAAAUUGCAAUACCAGAAGGAAACAUCUCAGAUAGACCAAUAAAAUUUGGAUAACAAUGUGCACUCAGUUGCACAUUAAGUUGCUCAUGACAUAAAUGUCUGGAAAACAAACUUCCCGCCUCAGAGAGAAAAGCAAAUACGUAGAAAUACUUCGGGUUUCAUCAUUUCAUAAAAAGAAGAUUAUUGAAUCAUAGGUACUGGGGUAUGGUUAUCAUAGAAAUGUAUUAGCUUUGACAUCAGGAAGGACUCUGCUACUAACAGUUCAUUAAUCCUUAAAACAAUGCUGUAUAUAGUUUCAGUUUCAAAAUGUGACUCGUUCCCUGCAAAGAACUCAUGCACGCAUCCAUCCAGUUCAAUGAAAGAGCUACCAGGCUGCUUGGUCUUUCUGUUACUGUAUAUUCCUGUCCUCACUUUAUUUGCAUCAACACACCUUGAUGUGGUAGCAUAGACAGUUGUUUGGCUCCAAUACUUGGAUCCUUUCUACUACAUAUACUCUGCAAGUCCCACUUCUCCGCAAGCUCUGCAGGCAAACAACAACGACCGCCACAUUACCACAUCAGGAGCGAUGGGCAUAGGCCGACAGGCACGGCGUCGUCACCCAAAUAGCAGGAAGACGCAACCUUGUAUCGCAGGAUGGCCUUCAUGGAGAACUGACCCAAAGAUGAUGUUGUAGAUCUUGUGAAUGGGCGCCCACCACAAGUCCAGCACUCCACCAUCCGCAGCCGCCGUGAGCCCGCCAGCACUGGCCACAUGCCCUACCGUAAAACGCUGCACACUACUGCCUGCAACGCUGCUAGACCCAUAGCCUGCAGGCCACCAUCAUAGUCGCCACUAACCCGGGUCUUGACUUUGACCCUGCCCUUUUAAUCAAGUUCAUAGUUCCCAGAUCUUUGGGUCUGAAUGUGAUGGCAAUCUGCAUCAUGGUGAACAUAAUGACUUUGACCCUGCCCUGCUUGUUGCUUUUAGUGAACUCGGUGUGCUUGGCAUUGGCGAUGUAAAUACCGUCGAGCCACGUCUCAUACUGGAAACAUAAUGGGCCCCACAUUCAUUUUUAUCUCGAAAUAGAUAUAUAGAUGCGAAACAAAAUUCGACACUUGGUUGCUCUACUUUUAAAAGAAUCAAUACCAUUGCAAAGCUUGUGACAAAGACUGCAAUAUUCAAGUUGGGGACAUGAAUAAAUUAUUAACCAAUUAGUCCCAGAUCUCAAUGUAAACUGCUGCCUUUAUUUCCAAAAUACCAACUGCAUCUAUUGUGUGCGAUUUAUUCCAAUCAACACAUCAAACUAUCAUCUUAGGUAUAAUCUAGAUGUUACCUUUGACAUGUAGCUGGUCAAUUUGACUUCAACUUGAGAACUCCGAUGAGUAUUUUUCUCAGUGGAUGCCUGCUUCUUUGUUUGGCUAUGCACGCACACAUCAGCCUGAACCAGCACCGCUAGGAGCCAGCUCCAGCUCAACCCGCACCGCACUAAUGCAAUCCCAG